RNAcentral lists this ribosomal RNA (292 nucleotides) under uncultured bacterium. Its description in RNAcentral is "partial 16S ribosomal RNA". The record is from RNAcentral.
GGACUACCGGGGUAUCUAAUCCUGUUUGAUCCCCUUGCUUUCGCGCCUCAGCGUCAGGUAUAAGCUAGAAAGUCGCCUUCGCCACUGGUAUUCUUCCACAUAUCUACGCAUUUCACCGCUACUUGUGGAAUUCUACUUUCUCCGCCUACCCUCUAGGUUUGCAGUUUCAAAUGCCGUUCUGGAGUUGAGCUCCAAGAUUUCACAUCUGACUUACAAACCCGCCUACGCGCCCUUUACGCCCAAUAAAUCCGAUUAAUGCUUGCACCCUCCGUAUUACCGCGGCUGCUGGCAC